ACCUGCGGAAGGAUCAUUGUCAAACCUGCCCAGCAGAAAGACCCGCGAAC
Molecule: ribosomal RNA, 50 nt
Filed under: Ficus orthoneura
Lineage: Eukaryota; Viridiplantae; Streptophyta; Magnoliopsida; Rosales; Moraceae
Description: partial 18S ribosomal RNA
Source: RNAcentral